CUACGGGUCGCUGCAGUGAGGAAUAUUGCACAAUGGGGGGAACCCUGAUGCAGCAACGCCGCGUGGAGGAUGACGCAUUUCGGUGUGUAAAUUCCUUUUAUAUGUCAAGAAAAUGACGGUAGCAUAUGAAUAAGCACCGGCUAACUCCGUGCCAGCAGCCGCGGUAAUACGGAGGGUGCAAGCGCUACUCGGAAUCACUGGGCGUAAAGGACGCGUAGGCGGGUUGGAAAGUCAGGUGUGAAAUCCUACAGCUUAACUGUAGAACUGCACUUGAAACUUCUAAUCUAGAGUAUGGGAGGGGGAGAUGGAAUUAGUGGUGUAGGGGUAAAAUCCGUAGAUAUCACUAGGACUACCUAAAGCGAAGGCGAUCUCCUGGAACAUUACUGACGCUAAGGCGUGAAAGCGUGGGGAGCAAACAGGAUUAGAUACCCCCGUAGUC
Molecule: ribosomal RNA, 439 nt
Filed under: uncultured bacterium
Lineage: Bacteria
Description: partial 16S ribosomal RNA
Rfam family: Bacterial small subunit ribosomal RNA
Source: RNAcentral